RNAcentral lists this ribosomal RNA (497 nucleotides) under uncultured bacterium. RNAcentral's name for it is "partial 16S ribosomal RNA". It matches the Rfam family "Bacterial small subunit ribosomal RNA", at positions 28 to 507 of the family's 1533-position model. The record is from RNAcentral.
GAUGAACGCUGGCGGCGUGCCUAAUACAUGCAAGUCGAGCGAACGGACGAGAAGCUUGCUUUUCUGAUGUUAGCGGCGGACGGGUGAGUAACACGUGGAUAACCUACCUAUAAGACUGGGAUAACUUCGGGAAACCGGAGCUAAUACCGGAUAAUAUUUUGAACCGCAUGGUUCAAAAGUGAAAGACGGUCUUGCUGUCACUUAUAGAUGGAUCCGCGCUGCAUUAGCUAGUUGGUAAGGUAACGGCUUACCAAGGCAACGAUGCAUAGCCGACCUGAGAGGGUGAUCGGCCACAAUGGAACGGAGACACGGUCCAGACUCCUACGGGAGGCAGCAGUAGGGAAUCUUCCGCAAUGGGCGAAAGCAUGACGGAGCAACGCCGCGUGAGUGAUGAAGGUCUUCGGAUCGUAAAACUCUGUUAUUAGGGAAGAACAUAUGUGUAAGUAACUGUGCACAUCUUGACGGUACCUAAUCAGAAAGCCACGGCUAACUACGUG